UAAGGAAUAUUGGUCAAUGGACGCAAGUCUGAACCAGCCAUGCCGCGUGAAGGAUGAAGGUCCUCUGGAUUGUAAACUUCUUAUAUCUGGGACGAAAACGGGAUUUUUAUCUCAAUUGACGGUACCAGAGGAAUAAGCACCGGCUAACUCCGUGCCAGCAGCCGCGGUAAUACGGAGGGUGCGAGCGUUAUCCGGAUUUACUGGGUUUAAAGGGUGCGUAGGUGGGCUUAUAAGUCAGUGGUGAAAUCUCCGAGCUUAACUUGGAAACUGCCGUUGAUACUAUAGGUCUUGAAUUAUCUGGAGGUAAGCGGAAUAUGUCAUGUAGCGGUGAAAUGCUUAGAUAUGACAUAGAACACCAAUUGCGAAGGCAGCUUACUACAUAUAAAUUGACGCUGAGGCACGAAAGCGUGGGGAUCAAACA
RNAcentral lists this ribosomal RNA (421 nucleotides) under uncultured bacterium. RNAcentral's name for it is "bacterial SSU rRNA". It matches the Rfam family "Bacterial small subunit ribosomal RNA", at positions 355 to 774 of the family's 1533-position model. The record is from RNAcentral.